Molecule: ribosomal RNA, 627 nt
Filed under: Triticum aestivum (bread wheat)
Lineage: Eukaryota; Viridiplantae; Streptophyta; Magnoliopsida; Poales; Poaceae
Description: partial small subunit ribosomal RNA
Source: RNAcentral
AUGAAGGGACGCUUAGACAAAGGAAUGCAUCAAACGACGGGCUCCUUUGGCGUGGGACUGGCUGGCGUCGGCGUUGGCAUCACUGUGCUCGGGUUGUUCGGUGUCGGCGUGGCUUAUGUGCUCGGGCUGGGCGUCGGUGUUGGGGUCGGCGUGGGAGUAGACGUAGGCGCGGUAGUCGAAGGCAUCUGGUUCAAGAUGAGGUCGUGCUCCGCCAAGUACCACACCUUGACCUGCUCGUCCAUCGUCGACAUGUCCGCUCCCAUCAAGAACGCCAGGUCGGUGUUCCUCUUCUUCGCAGCGGCAUUGGUCCGGAGUAGGUCGAGCUUGACGACGCUGUUUGUCAUCAACGCCGACCACAGCGUCUCGGAUUUCUCCUCCCUGUUGGCGGCGUGGUUCUUGGCGUCGGUGAUGCACUGCUUGAUCGACGAUUGCAGCCGGUGUGGCGUCAUGGCUCUUUUGUUGCCGUCAGGGCGCCCAUCCGUCGUCCCCGGGGUGGGCGCGUCCGGCUUGUACGUCUCCUUGGCCUUGGCGAGGGUGCGCCGGACAUCCGUCCACUUCUCGCACUUCUUGAUCCGGGUGAACACGUGGAGGAACUUGAACUCUUGGUCAUUGCUGUCCUCGCGGUAA